AAUAGCAGGGGUAAGAACCUGAAGGGUUGUGAGUAUCGGAUAUGUUUGACCCGCGUGGCAAUCCAAUGAAAGCCAGGCUGAGAGGAUCAAAAGCGCUUUUGAGAAAAGCUAGAAUAUGGAUGAAAGCUUAUCGAAGAGAAAACUUCGAGCGGCAACGAUGAAGGUUACACGUCCUGGUUUCGACAUUGCUCGUGCCUUAACCUCAUCCUCACCGUGACUUCGGAACCAUUACCAUGACGGUGCGCUUCCACUCGGAUCAACUUCUUCGAUGUUUCCUUCGGUGUUUUUCCGGCCGAUCUUCAAACUCCAUGCCAUGAUCUCCGCUUGGUGCACAAUUAAUCGAGUAUGGUGGAGUCUAUUCCGGUGUCAAGAGAAACAAAUCUACGCGUGAAAAUUCGAUUGCAAACGGGAAAAGAUCGAAGAAAAACGAGACGGAAUCAGACACAACCGUGGAUUUCUCGCUCUCCUUUCAACAUUCAACCGACAUCCUCUCCGUCGUAGAAGGGGCUUCGAUGCGGUGGUUGCAGCAAUGUUACCGACUUCACCGGGGCUUGCGUUGCAGAUUCCAGCAUGAAUAAGCUUGUGGUGAAAAAUUAAGAAUCUUUAUGUAGAAGGAGGGAUUCGAUGCAGAAGUGGAGAAGGUGAUUUGGAAGAGUGAAGCUUGAAGAAUUUGAUACAGAAAAAAUGGAGAGAGUGGUUGCAGAAAAUGAUCGAAGAAAGUGAAGAUUUAAGAUUUAUUUAUAGCAUUCCAAAAUCGGAACUCUUGUGUAAAAUGAUGGUCUGAAUUUUGGAACAUUGAGUUUGAAAAGUUUGUGAGUCGUUGCUUGCGUUUGGAAUUGGAUUGUGGACUAGUUUGAAGAGUGGAGUUUGGCUUGAAUAACUUUGGACUUGGAGUCUUUGUAAAUUUGUGAAUUGAACAUAUGCAUUAUAGCUUGUAAAUUGUAACCAUGCAUUGUAAUUAAAACGGAAAUUGAUUAAAUGUUGAAAAUUCUUGGAUAUUGAAUGAGUAUUAUAGGAUAAAAUUAAUUAUGUAUUGAUUAAAAUAUA
Long non-coding RNA from Lathyrus oleraceus (garden pea), 1047 nucleotides. RefSeq lists it as uncharacterized. The record is from RefSeq and is a predicted model, not a curated record. NCBI's taxonomy places the organism in Eukaryota, Viridiplantae, Streptophyta, Magnoliopsida, Fabales, Fabaceae. The transcript has 3 exons.